RNAcentral lists this ribosomal RNA (350 nucleotides) under uncultured bacterium. RNAcentral's name for it is "bacterial SSU rRNA". It matches the Rfam family "Bacterial small subunit ribosomal RNA", at positions 355 to 720 of the family's 1533-position model. The record is from RNAcentral.
UCGAGAAUCUUCCGCAAUGGGCGAAAGCCUGACGGAGCGAUGCCGCGUGGUGGAUGAAGCGUUUCGGCGCGUAAACACCUUUUAUGAGGGAAGAAGUUUUGACAUUACCUCAUGAAUAAGGGGCUCCUAAUCACGUGCCAGCAGGAGCGGUAACACGUGAGCCUCGAGCGUUACCCGGAUUCACUGGGCGUAAAGGGUGCGUAGGUGGUUAUAUUAGUCGGUCGUUAAAUCCUAGGGCUCAACCCUAGACUCGCGACCGAAACGGUAUGACUAGAGGGUGUGAGAGGUCUGUAGAACUCAUGGUGUAGGGGUGGAAUCCGUUGAUAUCAUGGGGAAUACCAAAAGCGAAG